GAUGAACGCUGGCGGCGUGCUUAACACAUGCAAGUCGAACGGUGAAGCAGAGCUUGCUCUGUGGAUCAGUGGCGAACGGGUGAGUAACACGUGAGCAACCUGCCCCUGACUCUGGGAUAAGCGCUGGAAACGGCGUCUAAUACUGGAUAUGAGCUGCGACCGCAUGGUCAGCAGUUGGAAAGAUUUUUCGGUCUGGGAUGGGCUCACGGCCUAUCAGCUUGUUGGUGAGGUAAUGGCUCACCAAGGCGUCGACGGGUAGCCGGCCUGAGAGGGUGACCGGCCACACUGGGACUGAGACACGGCCCAGACUCCUACGGGAGGCAGCAGCGGGGAAUAUUGCACAAUGGGCGAAAGCCUGAUGCAGCAACGCCGCGUGAGGGAUGACGGCCUUCGGGUUGUAAACCUCUUUUAGCAGGGAAGAAGCGAAAGUGACGGUACCUGCAGAAAAAGCGCCGGCUAACUACGUG
Molecule: ribosomal RNA, 467 nt
Filed under: uncultured bacterium
Lineage: Bacteria
Description: partial 16S ribosomal RNA
Rfam family: Bacterial small subunit ribosomal RNA
Source: RNAcentral